Molecule: ribosomal RNA, 253 nt
Filed under: uncultured bacterium
Lineage: Bacteria
Description: partial 16S ribosomal RNA
Rfam family: Bacterial small subunit ribosomal RNA
Source: RNAcentral
UACGUAGGGUGCGAGCGUUAAUCGGAAUUACUGGGUGUAAAGCGUGCGCAGGCGGUUCGUUAAGUUCGUUGUGAAAGCCCCGGGCUCAACCUGGGAACUGCAAUGGAAACUGGCGGGCUUGAGUGCGGCAGAGGGGGGUGGAAUUCCGCGUGUAGCAGUGAAAUGCGUAGAGAUGCGGAGGAACACCGAUGGCGAAGGCAGCCCCCUGGGCCGACACUGACGCUCAGGCACGAAAGCGUGGGGAGCAAACAGG